CGUACGACAAAAGGUCGGAAGCAAGUGGUGCAGUCCAUGGGUCGAUGCGGGCCAAGCCCGACAAUGUGCUGGCACUGGGUCGGCCCAUGCAUGUGCGUGGCCUAUGAGCGUGGGCACCAAACCAUUUGAUCCACCAUGGACCAAAGUUUGGCAUGAUUUACCAGCCGUGCAUGGACCAGAUGGCAGGGAUUGCUCUAGGAGCGAUCCAACGGCAAG
Molecule: long non-coding RNA, 216 nt
Filed under: Elaeis guineensis (African oil palm)
Lineage: Eukaryota; Viridiplantae; Streptophyta; Magnoliopsida; Arecales; Arecaceae
Description: long non-coding RNA (EGUI_LNC037196)
Source: RNAcentral